GACAGCUGAGCGCGUCUUUCGCCUGGGUCAAGACACCCCGGCCGACGGCUCCCGAAACCCUUGACGUUCUCCCUCCCGUGCUCUCUCUUUCUCCUCUGGCGGCGGCAGCGGGAGGAAGUCUCGGCCGGAGCGAGCCGCCGAGCCGUGCCGGCGGCUUUUCCUCCUUCCCCCCACCUCUUUGUCCAUUCUUUCCCGGCGAAGGCGAUGCGGCCGGCUCUUCACCGGCCGGACUGGCGUGGCGUCAUCCCUGGCCCCUUGCCGGCGUGCGCGUGCACCCAACGGUGCGCGCGUCGCUGUCAAGUGACCGGCGGCCGACGACCGAAAUCCGACGACCGGCGGCGGCGCCCACGGGUAAGUUUCUUUGUCUUUUUCUUUUUAUUUCUCUUUUCUUUUCUCCUUUCUCUUUCUACCGAAGCCGAUUUACUCGUCUAAAUCGCUCUGAUACCAUUGAUAGAAACCUAGAAUCGUCUAGGUGUAGAUCUAGCCGGUAGAAGGUUCUUUCUGUGGUUUGACUUGAGAUUCAGGUAUGGGAGAAAGAGAGGAAGGGGAGGAGGGGUACCUUCUCCUCGGGACGAUGACGAGGAUGCCGGCGUGGACGUCAUGGUCGGCGGCUGUCGUGGUGGUGUCACGGCAGAUGCCAUAGGAUGGCUUAACUUGGGGCCGAUGGACGCAGGAGGAUCCGGAUGAGGGAGGACAUGAAGGGAAACACGCACAAAACACACGAGCACACACAAAUUUACCGAGGUUCGGAGCCCUCUUGUCGAGGUAAGACUUCUACUCCUGCUUUGUUGUAUUAGCCGAGAUAGACAAACUCUACAAUGGCGCUCCUUGAGUUGUAUUCUUGAGGAACAAGAAGAAGGGAAAACCCUAGAUGCCUAAGUGCUCUCGUCCUAAGCGCCUCCCUUCUCUACAGAGGGAUAAGGUUCUAUUUAUAGGCCGCCCAUGUCACAUUGACAUGCGGGCCGAGUCUAACGUCAUCUUCCUUGGGUCCUACUGGGCACGCGGCUUGGUUCCCUCCAGGCAGUACCGUAGGGGACAAGACGACUUUACUUUUCCCUGCCAGUCUGCA
Molecule: long non-coding RNA, 1069 nt
Filed under: Brachypodium distachyon (stiff brome)
Lineage: Eukaryota; Viridiplantae; Streptophyta; Magnoliopsida; Poales; Poaceae
Description: long non-coding RNA (BDIS_LNC003775)
Source: RNAcentral